GACGAACGCUGGCGGCGUGCUUAACACAUGCAAGUCGAACGAAGAGCGAUGGAAGCUUGCUCCUAUCAAUCUUAGUGGCGAACGGGUGAGUAACGCGUAAUCAACCUGCCCUUCAGAGGGGGACAACAGUUGGAAACGACUGCUAAUACCGCAUACGAUCUAACCUCGGCAUCGAGGAAAGAUGAAAGGUGGCCUCUAUUUAUAAGCUAUCACUGAAGGAGGGGAUUGCGUCUGAUUAGCUAGUUGGAGGGGUAACGGCCCACCAAGGCGAUGAUCAGUAGCCGGUCUGAGAGGAUGAACGGCCACAUUGGGACUGAGACACGGCCCAGACUCCUACGGGAGGCAGCAGUGGGGAAUCUUCCGCAAUGGACGAAAGUCUGACGGAGCCGCCGCGUGAGUGAUGACCGGCUUCGGG
Molecule: ribosomal RNA, 415 nt
Filed under: Veillonella parvula
Lineage: Bacteria; Bacillati; Bacillota; Negativicutes; Veillonellales; Veillonellaceae
Description: bacterial SSU rRNA
Rfam family: Bacterial small subunit ribosomal RNA
Source: RNAcentral